AACGAACGCUGGCGGCAGGCUUAACACAUGCAAGUCGAACGCUCCGCAAGGAGAGUGGCAGACGGGGGAGUAACACGUGGGAACGUACCCUUUACUACGGAACAACUCCGGGAAACUGGAGAUAAUACCGUAUGUGCCCUUUGGGGGAAAGAUUUAUCGGUAAAGGAUCGGCCCGCGUUGGAUUAGCUAGUUGGGGGGGUAAAGGCAUACCAAGGCGACGAUCCAGAGCUGGUCUGAGAGGAUGAUCAGCCACAUUGGGACUGAGACACGGCCCAAACUCCUACGGGAGGCAGCAGUGGGGAAUCUUGGACAAUGGGCGGAAGCCUGAUCCAGCCAUGCCGCGUGUGUGAUGAAGGCCUUAGGGUUGUAAAGCACUUUCACCGGAGAAGAUAAUGACGGUAUCCGGAGAAGAAGCCCCGGCUAGCUUCGUGCCAGCCGCCGCAGUAA
RNAcentral lists this ribosomal RNA (447 nucleotides) under uncultured bacterium. RNAcentral describes it as "partial 16S ribosomal RNA". It matches the Rfam family "Bacterial small subunit ribosomal RNA", at positions 29 to 523 of the family's 1533-position model. The record is from RNAcentral.